RNAcentral lists this ribosomal RNA (1433 nucleotides) under uncultured organism. RNAcentral's name for it is "16S ribosomal RNA". It matches the Rfam family "Bacterial small subunit ribosomal RNA". The record is from RNAcentral.
CAGGCUUAACACAUGCAAGUCGAGGGGCAGCAUGGUCUUAGCUUGCUAAGGCCGAUGGCGACCGGCGCACGGGUGAGUAACACGUAUCCAACCUGCCGUCUACUCUUGGACAGCCUUCUGAAAGGAAGAUUAAUACAAGAUGGCAUCAUGAGUCCGCAUGUUCACAUGAUUAAAGGUAUUCCGGUAGACGAUGGGGAUGCGUUCCAUUAGAUAGUAGGCGGGGUAACGGCCCACCUAGUCUUCGAUGGAUAGGGGUUCUGAGAGGAAGGUCCCCCACAUUGGAACUGAGACACGGUCCAAACUCCUACGGGAGGCAGCAGUGAGGAAUAUUGGUCAAUGGGCGAGAGCCUGAACCAGCCAAGUAGCGUGAAGGAUGACUGCCCUAUGGGUUGUGAACUUCUUUUAUAAAGGAAUAAAGUCGGGUAUGGAUACCCGUUUGCAUGUACUUUAUGAAUAAGGAUCGGCUAACUCCGUGCCAGCAGCCGCGGUAAUACGGAGGAUCCGAGCGUUAUCCGGAUUUAUUGGGUUUAAAGGGAGCGUAGAUGGAUGUUUAAGUCAGUUGUGAAAGUUUGCGGCUCAACCGUAAAAUUGCAGUUGAUACUGGAUAUCUUGAGUGCAGUUGAGGCAGGCGGAAUUCGUGGUGUAGCGGUGAAAUGCUUAGAUAUCACGAAGAACUCCGAUUGCGAAGGCAGCCUGCUAAGCUGCAACUGACAUUGAGGCUCGAAAGUGUGGGUAUCAAACAGGAUUAGAUACCCUGGUAGUCCACACGGUAAACGAUGAAUACUCGCUGUUUGCGAUAUACAGCAAGCGGCCAAGCGAAAGCGUUAAGUAUUCCACCUGGGGAGUACGCCGGCAACGGUGAAACUCAAAGGAAUUGACGGGGGCCCGCACAAGCGGAGGAACAUGUGGUUUAAUUCGAUGAUACGCGAGGAACCUUACCCGGGCUUAAAUUGCAGAUGAAUUACGGUGAAAGCCGUAAGCCGCAAGGCAUCUGUGAAGGUGCUGCAUGGUUGUCGUCAGCUCGUGCCGUGAGGUGUCGGCUUAAGUGCCAUAACGAGCGCAACCCUUGUUGUCAGUUACUAACAGGUUCCGCUGAGGACUCUGACAAGACUGCCAUCGUAAGAUGUGAGGAAGGUGGGGAUGACGUCAAAUCAGCACGGCCCUUACGUCCGGGGCUACACACGUGUUACAAUGGGGGGUACAGAGGGCCGCUACCACGCGAGUGGAUGCCAAUCCCCAAAACCUCUCUCAGUUCGGACUGGAGUCUGCAACCCGACUCCACGAAGCUGGGUUCGCUAGUAAUCGCGCAUCAGCCACGGCGCGGUGAAUACGUUCCCGGGCCUUGUACACACCGCCCGUCAAGCCAUGGGAGCCGGGGGUACCUGAAGUGCGUAACCGCGAGGAGCGCCCUAGGGUAAAACUGGUGACUGGGG